CCCACACACUUCUUGUUGUGAAAUAUAACACUUUGUAAAAACCUUCAGCCAAGUGUUUGGAAGUAUUCUUAAAUUCAAAUGAAUGAUUGCAAUAUCCUUGUAUUAUAACCAAGCAAUCAUAACGAUUGUCAAUAACUCAUAAACACUCUAUGAACUUCUUAUUUUCCCUAACCCUCAACCUAAAAUCAAUUGAUUGUGUUAUAAACUAGAAAUAAAACCAAACAAACAACGAGAACAACCCAAAAUAGAACAGUGUGACUGGGGAACUCUUCUCUCGACAGACCAUAGAAUUAUUUUAUGGUCCUUGUUUUUGUUCUAAGUGAUUUAGCAGACGCUCGUAUCCAAAGCAGCGACGGGCAGUGAAUACGUGGGGUAGGUAGGGGUUAGGAAUCCCACUCCUCCUGUCUCAGUGUUCUACUAAGGUCACCACUCCUCAGUGUUCUACUAAGGUUACUACUCCUCCUGUCUCAGUGUUCUACUAAGGUCACCACUCCUCAGUGUUCUACUAAGGUCACUACUCUGUCUCUCUCUGUGUUCUACUAAGGUCACUACUCCGUCUCUCUCAGUGUUCUACUAAGGUCACUACUCCUUCUCUCUCAGUGUUCUACUAAGGUCAAACAGUCACAAAGGGCAGCUGACAUGGAGUCAUCUAGACCAAUUUCGAAAUAAUCUACGACCAGUUAAGUGUGUUUGUGUGUGUGUGUGUGUGUGGUUUGUUAGUGCUGAGCACACAGUAUCGCCACUAAGAAUUUAACCAACAUUGAGGAACAACAUCCACACAACACACGCACAGUCUUGCACUGCUUGGUUUCCCAACAUUGGCAGAAUGUGACAUCACAUCACAUGCCCAAACACAAAAAAAUCGACUGUUGAUUUGAUAUCAGGAAAACAGUGUCCCUAUGGUGCUAAACCCCCUCCCCCCAAAGCAGUGGUGUGCGGUGGUACACGGCCAGGACCAAUGAAUGUAACCUUCAUUCUGCUUCUGCAGUCAUUGUGACACUUAAAAUCUUAGGGACAAAACAUUACCCAGUUACCAUGGCAUUGGACAACACAACGAUGCAUUACUAUGGGACAUCAUGUGGUGAGGUCAUAUUAGUUAGUUGAUUAGUUGAGCGUAUGUGAGUGUGUGUGUGUGUGUGUGUGUGUGUGUGUGUGUGUGUGUGUGUGUGUGUGUGUGUGUGUGUGUGUGUGUGUGUGUGUGUGUGUACACGUGUGUGAAUAGAGGAAGUGUGCGUUAUUUAGGGUCCCUCACCUGUUGAUGUGACUUGACAACUUACUUUAUUGUUAUGAACCUAAAGAAAGUAGUUGUUUUAACGUUUAAUACAGAAUGUUUUAAACGUCCAUUUAUUGGACCUGGUUGCAGAGCCAUAUACCUAAACGUUUGAGACUUCUUUCUUUGAGAAAAAUACCAUCCCAGGCUUUUAGCUGUGCAUUUUUACAAUUUUUUCCCCCAGAUUUCUGCUGAAGAGAAAAAAAACUAUUAACCGAAAACAGAUUUAAGGAGAAGGCUUCCAGGAGUCACCGUGUUCAACUCUCGUUGAGCUUUGGUGAGAAAGUGAACGAGUACAGGGACGGACAGACGGAUAGACCGACAGACACACAGCCAGACACACAUUAAGCAUUAACGUGUAGGACAUUUCAUUGUGAAAUCCCCUGUUUUUAAUCUUGUGGCUCAGUCUCAUAAAUCCUGAUUCCAAACUCGGAGCACACGGACGCGCUGGUUUAAUCUGUAACCACCUCAGCUCCUAAUGAUGAGACUACUAGACACCUCGGAGGGAAACAUGUAGGACAGAAGUCUCCAACGAUACGCGCCGGGGUCGGAGCUAAAUCAAAGAGGCGUUAUUAUAACCCACACUGAUCUACAAUAUAUAAUAUCUCAUCCAACUUACCGAAGGAAGGAUGACAGGUAAGUUGGUCUGACGAAGUUCCCUCGCGUUCUAGUCAACGGUGCGUGGGACGUCCGACGGGAGGGUUUCUUCCCCCCCCCCCCCUUCAAUGUGACUAAAACCCCGAACCAAUAGAAAUGAGGAGUCAGAAACAGCUCCUUAUAAACGGACUAAGAGAUGUUUUCGUGCUCAGGAUGUGGAAAAUGUGCAGGCAUAGGCCUACUGUUUAAUGUGGUUAUUGUGGUCCUCUAGAUCUGUCUUACUCUCAAACAUUCAUGACGUUUAUGUUUCAGCUUGUCUUACACUGGUAAUUUAUUUUCGAAAUAAGAGUUUACGACAUUUAAGUGAUGAUUUCAACAAUAGAGUGGAGUUCUACUUUUAUUCACACGGUCACAAAUUCAAACGUAACUCGAUGGAUUUAUUUUAAUUUGCAUGGCUAACUCAGGACAGUUAUGAAAGAUAUUCAGAUGUUGCAGAUGUUGACACCAAAGUUCCAAACAGUCAAAUGCAUUCACAACAAUAUGCAUACUUUUUUAAUUUAACGACAGUGUUUAUGUGAUGAUGGUCGCGGUCAGAGAUUUCAGUAAUAACCUCUUUCAAGUGAAAAAAAAUCCACUUACUUUCUCAUCCAUAUGAAAAUUUCUCCCUGCAUGCGUCCAACAGACCUCUGAGGAACGAAGGUCGAGGGUUCACUGACCAUAUAACACAAAGCUGAGGUGAAGGGACACGUAAAUAAUGGAGAGGCCAAAGAAGGCCUACAGGAUCGGCCUACAGGCUGAGUGCCGUUCAAUUCCCCUUCUGGUCACUUUUUGUGGCCAUGAUAUAGGAACAACCGAUAUCUGAUAUCAAAUAUUCCUCCUUUCCAAUUGAGUAGGUAGGCCUACAAGAAAAGAUUUUACGCAAAAUCGUUCAACCUUUUCAAUACAAUAAAUUGAUAUUCACAUUCAAUAGCUUAUUUGAAACAAAAAUAAAUAAAUAAAAAUAGGACCAUAUUUGGAAGCCACUGAAUUAAAAUGCUAAUAACCUGAGGGAUAUUAAACAGGAUCCUUGGACAGUAGAACAUAUUUUAUGAGGCAUGUUGAAGGGAACACCUUUAAGAAAUGAGCUGAAUCAUUGAACAUCUAUGGAGGAACACGUGAAUCUUUGUUAUAAAGGGACAGCUUACUACACACGAGCCAACCAAAUAUGUACACGUCUAAAUAGUCUCAUUCACUAAAGAGGCACUUUGAAUCUAAACAGUCCGAUCAGCCCUCAAAGUCGUCUUCCAAGAUGAUGUGUGUUGAAGUCACACUUUGCAAAGAUGUGGCAGUUGCUUAGUCAGGGAAAAUAAUAAACGAUACCACAGGAAAAAUCAUAGAAAAUAAACAAGACAUUUAUCCAAACAAAUCAAACUCGUUUCUUGUAAUUGCUUUAGACAAGAAUGCACUCAUUAAUUUCUGUAAGUAAGAGGAGAUAGCAUGAGCGAAAAGCGUAUUCAGUACUGCUACAGGAGCCACACACCUCUGCAGACGUUUACCUUGAAUCAGAGCCGUUGUGGAAGGCGUGAUUCCCUCUCAUCCUUUAGUUUGUUCUCUUUCAAGUAAAACAGAGAAGGCUUUGAAACUGUUUACAGUAUGGAUAUUUGUGUGAUUAUAUUACAAAUGAUCAUUAGAAAGUGUCACAGCAAAAUAAUACACACAAACACACAAACAAAAACGAACUACAAAUAAUACAUCCUUAAAUAAAUAAAUAAUAAAUAUCGAUUUGCUUUCAUUUGCUUCAAGAAAUAAAUAAAUAAAUCAGAAGAUUAGGAGUGAAAGUCAAACGUAGUAGAUGGUAGGAGUUCAAAUUGUACCGUUGCAUCAUUAAUUAUGAAGUAAAAUUUACUCAUUAGUUGACUUCUUCUAAAUAUCAUCUUCCCUUAUUAUGUCCUUACCAAAAUCACAAUCAAUAUGCAUCCCAAACCCCGUUCUCAGCCGCCCAUUGGCUAAAAACAGGAGAAUAUUACUACAGCCAAUAGCGUGAGAGAUUGAACUUCAAAGUCCUCCUUGGAAUGUGAUCGAGUCCCUUUGUUUAGUGAAUACAACGUGCUCAGUGCUGUCAUGUUGUUGACCUCCAAGCUGUUUAUCAGGAGGUAAACACCACGUUGACCCAUUGAGCCUCACAUUGACAGCAAUGCCCACGAGUUUGAGCGGAAAAGAGACAAAUCGACCAACCGAGCCCCCCUACCAAAACAAAAGAUCAGCAUUCAUGUUGAUUUGAGGAAGCGUAAACACUCAAGAUGCACAUGAGAAUAAAGUAAUACCUUGUAUUGGAUGAUAUUCAUGCCUUUGUUGCAAUAUUUAGUAUAUACUACCGACCCUGGGGGAUAAAUCCCUGACGUAGGUUAUGUGGUAGAUUCUUUGACUCCGGAGGUUAUUUUAACGUUACAUCUCAGCCCCACUGAACCGUGUGACAUGCUAAGUGCUCGUAGGGCUCGUUGCCACGGGAAUAAGAACUAAUCCUACCCAAAGUAAACACCCCCCCCCCCCCCCCCCAGCGGUUCCUUAAGGAGCGGUGGAGCCGGUCAGAACCGGUCAGAACCGGUGUCUGCGUGAGGGGGAGGUGGCCUGGCCCGGGUCCACCGGGUCCUCUAGGGGCAGGACCAGCCGGG
Gadus macrocephalus (Pacific cod) is the source of this 4518-nucleotide long non-coding RNA. RefSeq lists it as uncharacterized. NCBI's taxonomy places the organism in Eukaryota, Metazoa, Chordata, Actinopteri, Gadiformes, Gadidae. The record is from RefSeq and is a predicted model, not a curated record. The transcript has 3 exons.